This 500-nucleotide ribosomal RNA is filed under the name uncultured bacterium. RNAcentral's name for it is "bacterial SSU rRNA". It matches the Rfam family "Bacterial small subunit ribosomal RNA", at positions 28 to 507 of the family's 1533-position model. The record is from RNAcentral.
GACGAACGCUGGCGGCGUGCCUAAUACAUGCAAGUCGAGCGGAAUGAAGAAGAAGCUUGCUUCUUCUGAUUUUAGCGGCGGACGGGUGAGUAACACGUGGGCAACCUACCUUGUAGAUUGGGAUAACUCCGGGAAACCGGGGCUAAUACCGAAUAAUCCAUUUUGCUUCAUGGCGAGAUGUUGAAAGACGGUUUCGGCUGUCACUACGAGAUGGGCCCGCGGCGCAUUAGCUAGUUGGUAGGGUAAUGGCCUACCAAGGCGACGAUGCGUAGCCGACCUGAGAGGGUGAUCGGCCACACUGGGACUGAGACACGGCCCAGACUCCUACGGGAGGCAGCAGUAGGGAAUCUUCCACAAUGGACGAAAGUCUGAUGGAGCAACGCCGCGUGAGUGAAGAAGGUUUUCGGAUCGUAAAACUCUGUUGUAAGGGAAGAACACGUACGAGAGUAACUGCUCGUACCUUGACGGUACCUUAUUAGAAAGCCACGGCUAACUACGUG